AGUGAACGCUGGCGGUAGGCCUAACACAUGCAAGUCGAACGGCAGCACAGUAAGAGCUUGCUCUUACGGGUGGCGAGUGGCGGACGGGUGAGGAAUACAUCGGUAUCUACUUUUUCGUGGGGGAUAACGUAGGGAAACUUACGCUAAUACCGCAUACGACCUACGGGUGAAAGCAGGGGAUCUUCGGACCUUGCGCGAUUGAAUGAGCCGAUGUCGGAUUAGCUAGUUGGCGGGGUAAAGGCCCACCAAGGCGACGAUCCGUAGCUGGUCUGAGAGGAUGAUCCGCCACACUGGAACUGAGACACGGUCCAGACUCCUACGGGAGGCAGCAGUGGGGAAUAUUGGACAAUGGGCGCAAGCCUGAUCCAGCCAUACCGCGUGGGUGAAGAAGGCCUUCGGGUUGUAAAGCCCUUUUGUUGGGAAAGAAAAGCAGCAGGUUAAUACCCCGCUGUUCUGACGGUACCCAAAGAAUAAGCACCGGCUAACUUCGUG
Molecule: ribosomal RNA, 492 nt
Filed under: uncultured bacterium
Lineage: Bacteria
Description: partial 16S ribosomal RNA
Rfam family: Bacterial small subunit ribosomal RNA
Source: RNAcentral